AGGUGCGAUCAUACCAGCACUAAUGCACCGGAUCCCGUCAGAACUCCGAAGGUAAACGUGCUUGGGCGAGAGUAGUACUAAGAUGGGUGACCUCUUGGGAAGUCCUCGUGUUGCACCCC
Molecule: non-coding RNA, 119 nt
Organism: Ricinus communis (castor bean)
Lineage: Eukaryota; Viridiplantae; Streptophyta; Magnoliopsida; Malpighiales; Euphorbiaceae
Source: Rfam